AUUGAGGCCUCAUUGCCUAACCUAACAGCAUGUACACCAUGAGCAACUGCAAAAUACAUGCCACCAGGUUGUGGGCCAGCAGAUAUGUACUCCACUAAACCAUUUGUUUCCCAGCCAGGUAAUGCAUUUUUCCCUUUCAGUACUGUCUUGUUUAUGUCACGUGGUUUUGGUUUCUGCUCAAAGUUGCCAUUCUUCAGGAAUCCUAAAGAAGAAGCAGAGAAAGUUAGAUCAGAAAUGAGAUGAACAGUCUUUAUAGUAAAAAAUAGCAAUAUUUUGCAU
RNAcentral lists this long non-coding RNA (279 nucleotides) under Ricinus communis (castor bean). RNAcentral describes it as "long non-coding RNA (RCOM_LNC000912)". Lineage: Eukaryota; Viridiplantae; Streptophyta; Magnoliopsida; Malpighiales; Euphorbiaceae. The record is from RNAcentral.